GACGAACGCUGGCGGCGUGCUUAACACAUGCAAGUCGAACGGAAAGGCCCUGCUUGCAGGGUACUCGAGUGGCGAACGGGUGAGUAACACGUGGGUGAUCUGCCCUGCACUUCGGGAUAAGCUUGGGAAACUGGGUCUAAUACCGGAUAGGAGCCAUCUUUAGUGUGGUGGUUGGAAAGUUUUUUCGGUGUAGGAUGAGCUCGCGGCCUAUCAGCUUGUUGGUGGGGUAAUGGCCUACCAAGGCGGCGACGGGUAGCCGGCCUGAGAGGGUGUACGGCCACAUUGGGACUGAGAUACGGCCCAGACUCCUACGGGAGGCAGCAGUGGGGAAUAUUGCACAAUGGGCGCCAGCCUGAUGCAGCGACGCCGCGUGGGGGAUGAAGGCCUUCGGGUUGUAAACUCCUUUCGCUAGGGACGAAGCUUUUUUGUGACGGUACCUAGAUAAGAAGCACCGGCUAACUACGUG
This 466-nucleotide ribosomal RNA is filed under the name uncultured bacterium. RNAcentral describes it as "partial 16S ribosomal RNA". It matches the Rfam family "Bacterial small subunit ribosomal RNA", at positions 28 to 507 of the family's 1533-position model. The record is from RNAcentral.